Molecule: ribosomal RNA, 264 nt
Filed under: Escherichia coli
Lineage: Bacteria; Pseudomonadati; Pseudomonadota; Gammaproteobacteria; Enterobacterales; Enterobacteriaceae
Description: partial 23S ribosomal RNA
Rfam family: Bacterial large subunit ribosomal RNA
Source: RNAcentral
CGUAAUAGCUCACUGGUCGAGUCGGCCUGCGCGGAAGAUGUAACGGGGCUAAACCAUGCACCGAAGCUGCGGCAGCGACACUAUGUGUUGUUGGGUAGGGGAGCGUUCUGUAAGCCUGUGAAGGUGUACUGUGAGGCAUGCUGGAGGUAUCAGAAGUGCGAAUGCUGACAUAAGUAACGAUAAAGCGGGUGAAAAGCCCGCUCGCCGGAAGACCAAGGGUUCCUGUCCAACGUUAAUCGGGGCAGGGUGAGUCGACCCCUAAGG